UCAUCUCUGGAUCUUAUUUCCAGUCCUCAGGAGGACCGGUUUUGAUGACCUAGUCUGAUUACAGCAUCUUUGACAGCUUUAAAGGAAUUUGCGCUGGGGAAGAAGACAGCUGCUCCUCUGAUGAGGGAUUUUUCUGAGCAGGCCUCCCAAGCCAGACAUGCCAGUGUGAGAGGCUGCCUACGUUUUUCAUCGUGACCAACAGGUUGUUAAACUACAAUCAAAAGCACUUAGUACAAAUGGAGCUGUCCCUGUUACGACAUUUGAACUCCUGACAUCUUUAUCCACUGGAACUUGAGUGCCCAGGACACAGCAGAGAGGGGAUUUUGGGAGCAUUUCACAAGGCCUGCAGCUGUGAGCUGGUUUCAGCAUGAGGAAAAGCCCUCCAUCACCCCAAUGCACAGGAAA
Corvus hawaiiensis (hawaiian crow) is the source of this 405-nucleotide long non-coding RNA. RefSeq lists it as uncharacterized. Lineage: Eukaryota; Metazoa; Chordata; Aves; Passeriformes; Corvidae. The record is from RefSeq and is a predicted model, not a curated record. The transcript is spliced from 3 exons.